UUUGAAGUAAAAAAAGCGUAACAAGGUCUCCGUUGGUGAACCAGCGGAGGGAUCAUUACCGAGUUUACAACUCCCAAACCCAAUGUGAACGUUACCAAACUGUUGCCUCGGCGGGGUCACGCCCCGGGUGCGUCGCAGCCCCGGAACCAGGCGCCCGCCGGAGGAACCAACCAAACUCUUUCUGUAGUCCCCUCGCGGACGUAUUUCUUACAGCUCUGAGCAAAAAUUCAAAAUGAAUCAAAACUUUCAACAACGGAUCUCUUGGUUCUGGCAUCGAUGAAGAACGCAGCGAAAUGCGAUAAGUAAUGUGAAUUGCAGAAUUCAGUGAAUCAUCGAAUCUUUGAACGCACAUUGCGCCCGCCAGUAUUCUGGCGGGCAUGCCUGUCCGAGCGUCAUUUCAACCCUCGAACCCCUCCGGGGGAUCGGCGUUGGGGAUCGGGACCCCUCACACGGGUGCCGGCCCCUAAAUACAGUGGCGGUCUCGCCGCAGCCUCUCCUGCGCAGUAGUUUGCACAACUCGCACCGGGAGCGCGGCGCGUCCACGUCCGUAAAACACCCAACUUUCUGAAAUGUUGACCUCGGAUCAGGUAGGAAUACCCGCUGAACUUAAGCAUAUCA
Molecule: ribosomal RNA, 618 nt
Filed under: Trichoderma sp. 1 B152
Lineage: Eukaryota; Fungi; Ascomycota; Sordariomycetes; Hypocreales; Hypocreaceae
Description: eukaryotic LSU rRNA
Rfam family: 5.8S ribosomal RNA (bases 242-395)
Source: RNAcentral